UAACCUGCUAAAUAGUAGUAUGAACCUUGGUUCGUGGUUUACUUCUUAGAGGGACUAUCUGUGUCUAACAGAUGGAAGUUUGAGGCAAUAACAGGUCUGUGAUGCCCUUAGAUGUUCUGGGCUGCACGCGCGCUACACUGAUGAAAUCAGCGAGUAUAUAACCUUGGCCGAAAGGUCCGGGUAAUCUUGUGAAAUUUCAUCGUGCUGGGGAUAGACCAUUGCAAUUAUUGGUCUUCAACGAGGAAUUCCUAGUAAGCGCGAGUCAUCAGCUCGCGUUGAUUACGUCCCUGCCCUUUGUACACACCGCCCGUCGCU
This 315-nucleotide ribosomal RNA is filed under the name uncultured fungus. Its description in RNAcentral is "SSU rRNA". It matches the Rfam family "Eukaryotic small subunit ribosomal RNA", at positions 1344 to 1680 of the family's 1831-position model. The record is from RNAcentral. Lineage: Eukaryota; Fungi.